GGGAGGAAGAAGUGGUGAAUAUUGCACAAUGGGCGAAAGCCUGAUGCAGCCAUGCCGCGUGUGUGAAGAAGGCCUUCGGGUUGUAAAGCACUUUCAGCGGGGAGGAAGGCGUUAAGGUUAAUAACCUUGGCGAUUGACGUUACCCGCAGAAGAAGCACCGGCUAACUCCGUGCCAGCAGCCGCGGUAAUACGGAGGGUGCAAGCGUUAAUCGGAAUUACUGGGCGUAAAGCGCACGCAGGCGGUCUGUCAAGUCGGA
Molecule: ribosomal RNA, 257 nt
Filed under: Klebsiella pneumoniae
Lineage: Bacteria; Pseudomonadati; Pseudomonadota; Gammaproteobacteria; Enterobacterales; Enterobacteriaceae
Description: partial 16S ribosomal RNA
Rfam family: Bacterial small subunit ribosomal RNA
Source: RNAcentral